UACGGCUCAGUAACACGUUGGCAACCUACCUUUAGGCCAGGAAUAACCUUGGGAAACUGAGGCUAAUACCUGAUAGGGAAAUAAUUCUGGAACGAAUGUUUCUUCAAAGAUUACACCUAAAGAUGGGCCAGCGGUCGAUUAGGUUGUUGGUGAGGUAAUGGCUCACCAAGCCAGUGAUCGAUAGGGGCCUUGAGAGAGGGAGCCCCGAGAAGGGUACUGAAAUACUGACCCUAGCCCUACGGGGUGCAGCAGGCGCGAAACCUUUACAAUACACGAAAGUGUGAUAAGGGGAUUCCAAGUGCUCAUGUUCUGCAUGGGCUUUUGUUAAGAGUAAAUAUCUUAGCGAAUAAGUGGUGGGCAAGACUGGUGCCAGCAGCCGCGGUAACACCAGCGCCACGAGUGGGAAUCAGUUUUAUUGGGCCUAAAGCGUCCGUGGCCGGUUUGUCAAAUCUCUUGUGAAAUCGUUAAGCUCAACUUAACGGCGUGCAGGAGACACUAACAAACUAGGAACCGGGAGGAGUCAGAAGUAUUCCGGGGGGAGCGGUAAAAUGCGAUAAUCCUCGGAAGACUACCUGUGGCGAAGGCGUCUGACUAGAACGGAUUCGACGGUGAGGGACGAAAGCCAGGGGAGCAAAUCGGGUUAGAUACCCGAGUAGUCCUGGCCGUAAACGCUGCGAGCUAGGUGUUGCGCAAUUUUCGUGAUUGUGCAGUAUCGAAGCGAAGGCAUUAAGCUCGCCGCCUGGGAAGUACGGUCGCAAGAUUGAAACUUAAAGGAAUUGGCGGGGGAGCAC
RNAcentral lists this ribosomal RNA (791 nucleotides) under uncultured archaeon. Its description in RNAcentral is "bacterial SSU rRNA". It matches the Rfam family "Archaeal small subunit ribosomal RNA", at positions 84 to 879 of the family's 1478-position model. The record is from RNAcentral.